GCCGACGUAGCUCAAUAGGCAGAGCAGCUGAUUCGUAAUUAGCAGGUUGUCGGUUCGAGUCCGACCGUCGGCUCCA
RNAcentral lists this transfer RNA (76 nucleotides) under Acidobacteriota bacterium. RNAcentral's name for it is "tRNA-Thr". It matches the Rfam family "tRNA". From Rfam's summary of the family: Transfer RNA (tRNA) molecules are approximately 80 nucleotides in length. Their secondary structure includes four short double-helical elements and three loops (D, anti-codon, and T loops). Further hydrogen bonds mediate the characteristic L-shaped molecular structure. tRNAs have two regions of fundamental functional importance: the anti-codon, which is responsible for specific mRNA codon recognition, and the 3' end, to which the tRNAs corresponding amino acid is attached (by aminoacyl-tRNA synthetases). tRNAs cope with the degeneracy of the genetic code in two manners: having more than one tRNA (with a specific anti-codon) for a particular amino acid; and 'wobble' base-pairing, i.e. permitting non-standard base-pairing at the 3rd anti-codon position. The record is from RNAcentral. Lineage: Bacteria; Pseudomonadati; Acidobacteriota. RNAcentral also lists the same sequence under 2 other names.